Molecule: ribosomal RNA, 253 nt
Filed under: uncultured bacterium
Lineage: Bacteria
Description: partial 16S ribosomal RNA
Rfam family: Bacterial small subunit ribosomal RNA
Source: RNAcentral
UACGUAGGGUGCGAGCGUUAAUCGGAAUUACUGGGCGUAAAGGGCGCGUAGGCGGCGCGGUAAGUCACUUGUGAAAUCUCUGAGCUUAACUCAGAACGGCCAAGUGAUACUGCAGUGCUAGAGUGUGGAAGGGGCAAUCGGAAUUCUUGGUGUAGCGGUGAAAUGCGUAGAUAUCAAGAGGAACACCUGAGGUGAAGACGGGUUGCUGGGCCAACACUGACGCUGAUGCGCGAAAGCCAGGGGAGCAAACGGG